RNAcentral lists this ribosomal RNA (321 nucleotides) under uncultured eukaryote. Its description in RNAcentral is "partial 18S ribosomal RNA". It matches the Rfam family "Eukaryotic small subunit ribosomal RNA", at positions 1470 to 1796 of the family's 1831-position model. The record is from RNAcentral.
CCCUUAGAUGUUCUGGGCCGCACGCGUGCUACACUGAGUGGAUCAGCGGGUCAGGUUGCGCGAAAGCGUUUCCUAAUCUUUAAAUCCGCUCGUGAUGGGGAUUGACGGUUGCAAUUUUCUGUCAUGAACGAGGAAUACCUUGUAAGCGCGGGUCAUCAUCCCGCGCUGAAUACGUCCCUGCCCUUUGUACACACCGCCCGUCGUUGCUACCGAUUGGUUUACUGAUAGAACCAUUUGGAGCGGACCCUCUCGUUCUUCGGUUCGUCUGGGGCUGCAAAAUCUGGUGAUAUUUGUAAACUAGAGGAAGCAAAAGUCGUAACA